This 274-nucleotide ribosomal RNA is filed under the name uncultured bacterium. Its description in RNAcentral is "partial 16S ribosomal RNA". It matches the Rfam family "Bacterial small subunit ribosomal RNA", at positions 523 to 796 of the family's 1533-position model. The record is from RNAcentral.
ACACGAACCGGACAAACGUUAUUCGGAAUUAUUGGGCUUAAAGGGUGCGUAGGCGGCGCGGUAAGUGAGGUGUGAAAGCCCACGACUCAAUCGUGGAAUUGCGCUUCAUACUGCCGUGCUAGAGGGAGACAGAGGUAAGCGGAACUGAUGGUGGAGCGGUGAAAUGCGUUGAUAUUAUCAGGAACACCGGUGGCGAAGGCGGCUUACUGGGUCUCUUCUGACGCUGAGGCACGAAAGCUAGGGUAGCGAACGGGAUUAGAAACCCCAGUAGUCC